RNAcentral lists this transfer RNA (84 nucleotides) under Candidatus Pacearchaeota archaeon. RNAcentral's name for it is "tRNA-Leu". It matches the Rfam family "tRNA". From Rfam's summary of the family: Transfer RNA (tRNA) molecules are approximately 80 nucleotides in length. Their secondary structure includes four short double-helical elements and three loops (D, anti-codon, and T loops). The record is from RNAcentral. Lineage: Archaea; Nanobdellati.
GCGAGGGUAGCGAAGUGGUCAAACGCGCAGGACUUAAGAUCCUGUGGCUUAGUGCCUUCGGGGGUUCGAAUCCUCCCCCUCGCA